RNAcentral lists this transfer RNA (70 nucleotides) under Strophurus ciliaris (Spiny-tailed gecko). RNAcentral describes it as "tRNA-Tyr". It matches the Rfam family "tRNA". From Rfam's summary of the family: Transfer RNA (tRNA) molecules are approximately 80 nucleotides in length. Their secondary structure includes four short double-helical elements and three loops (D, anti-codon, and T loops). Lineage: Eukaryota; Metazoa; Chordata; Lepidosauria; Squamata; Diplodactylidae. The record is from RNAcentral.
AGGUAGAAUGGCUGAGUGGUUAGACGGCAGGCUGUAGUCCUGCAAACAUGGGUUUAAGUCCUGUUUCUAU